GACUACAUGAAGCUGGAAUCGCUAGUAAUCGCGAAUCAGAAUGUCGCGGUGAAUACGUUCCCGGGUCUUGUACACACCGCCCGUCACACCAUGGGAGUCGGGAAAUGCCCGAAGUCAGUGACCCAACCGUAAGGAGGGAGCUGCCGAAGGCAGGCUCGAUAACUGGGGUGAAGUCGUAACAAGGUAUC
This 188-nucleotide ribosomal RNA is filed under the name uncultured bacterium. Its description in RNAcentral is "partial 16S ribosomal RNA". It matches the Rfam family "Bacterial small subunit ribosomal RNA", at positions 1314 to 1500 of the family's 1533-position model. The record is from RNAcentral.